Molecule: ribosomal RNA, 699 nt
Filed under: uncultured bacterium
Lineage: Bacteria
Description: bacterial SSU rRNA
Rfam family: Bacterial small subunit ribosomal RNA
Source: RNAcentral
GGGAUAACACCUGGAAACAGAUGCUAAUACCGGAUAACAACACUAGACGCAUGUCUAGAGUUUGAAAGAUGGUUCUGCUAUCACUCUUGGAUGGACCUGCGGUGCAUUAGCUAGUUGGUAAGGUAACGGCUUACCAAGGCAAUGUUGCAUAGCCGAGUUGAGGGACUGAUCGGCCACAUUUGGACUGAGACACGGCCCAAACUCCUACGGGAGGCAGCAGUAGGGAAUCUUCCACAAUGGACGAAAGUCUGAUGGAGCAACGCCGCGUGAGUGAAGAAGGGUUUCGGCUCGUAAAGCUCUGUUGGUAGUGAAGAAAGAUAGAGGUAGUAACUGGCCUUUAUUUGACGGUAAUUACUUAGAAAGUCACGGCUAACUACGUGCCAGCAGCCGCGGUAAUACGUAGGUGGCAAGCGUUGUCCGGAUUUAUUGGGCGUAAAGCGAGUGCAGGCGGUUCAAUAAGUCUGAUGUGAAAGCCUUCGGCUCAACCGGAGAAUUGCAUCAGAAACUGUUGAACUUGAGUGCAGAAGAGGAGAGUGGAACUCCAUGUGUAGCGGUGGAAUGCGUAGAUAUAUGGAAGAACACCAGUGGCGAAGGCGGCUCUCUGGUCUGCAACUGACGCUGAGGCUCGAAAGCAUGGGUAGCGAACAGGAUUAGAUACCCUGGUAGUCCAUGCCGUAAACGAUGAGUGAUAAGUGUUGG